RNAcentral lists this long non-coding RNA (1083 nucleotides) under Castor canadensis (American beaver). RNAcentral describes it as "lncRNA (ENSCCNG00000011169.1)". Lineage: Eukaryota; Metazoa; Chordata; Mammalia; Rodentia; Castoridae. The record is from RNAcentral.
UCUGCUAACUUCCACUUAAUUUGGUGAUAAGUUAAUGAUAUAAAACUGAAAAACCCAAGUAUGUGAAACUGAGACACCAGCAGAUUCUUAAGUUGUUUUGUUCCCUUAUUUUCUUGACCCAUAUUUGAGGAUUGUUACUGAGUAGUAAAUUACUUAUAUUGGGACUAAAGCAGCUAUGGGGAAAAAUUACUUUGAUCACAUUUUAAAAUAGAUAGGAAAUGUCCUUUAGGUUAGAGAAAAUAGUUCCUAGUUGUCAUUUGACACUCAGUUUUUAUUUUGGAAUCAUUUUUUUCAUCAACAUGCCUUGCUUUAUAUGACUCUCUGUGAGGCAGAAAAGAGGGGCAUUAGCUAAGGAGGCCUAACCUAAGUGGGGUUAAGUGGGUUAAUAUGGAGCUGCUGCUGUAGAUUUGCAGCACCUGUGAUUAAUUUAGUCCUGCCUUGGCAUUUCCAAUUACAGAUUUUUCUUACUGGAAUUGCAUUACAAAGAUGAAUGCUCUUUCAAGAGAGGACUGCUGAAGGAAAAAAAAAAGAUGAGCGUGCUCACCGGAGAAAAUGCCUCCAGUGAGCGCAGUGCCUCAGUUGUAUUUUUGAGUCUCUAUGAGACCACUUCUGUUCUGCAGUUUGACUAUAUAUUCACACAUAAUGCAGCCUUUUUUUGGCUUUGUUACAGUUAAUACUUCAUAGAUCUUGGAAAUUGAGAAGUUCUCGAAACAUCACUUUUGGCUGUUGUGUAUGUAAUUUGUCAUAAAAGAUAGCAAACCUUUCGCUACUUCACUAAACGAAUUUCAGAGUAAACACUGUGAUUCUGCAAAGCAGAUUCUGUAGGCUUUCAACAAUUUUUUUCUUGUUAUACAGUGCCUACCACCUAGGGCACUUAAAUAUUACUAGAGGAUGGAAAGUUAAACGUUGUUUUGAUGUUUAUUAAAUAAGAUUAGAGAAUAUUUGAUUUUGUUUUGUCAGUGUAUUAGAGAAAUUUUUGCAUUGAUAAAUGUUCUUUAGGAAUGUGACUACAUUCAUCGGGUGUGAACUCCUGUAAAUGAAUUUUGUAUCUUGAAUCCACGUAUAAAGUGUAUCAUCAAUAUA